RNAcentral lists this ribosomal RNA (1029 nucleotides) under Triticum aestivum (bread wheat). RNAcentral's name for it is "partial small subunit ribosomal RNA". The stretch from base 475 to 615 matches the Rfam family "Small nucleolar RNA Z247". The record is from RNAcentral. Lineage: Eukaryota; Viridiplantae; Streptophyta; Magnoliopsida; Poales; Poaceae.
AUGGCUAGCUCCAGCGCCGCCACCGCCGCCUUUCCUCUCAUUCCCAUCGCUGACAAGCUUCACCGGGGAAAUUACCUGGUGUGGCGCGCGCAAGCCCUAGCCACCAUCCGAGGAGCGCAGCUGAUCGACCACCUCAACCCCGAUCAUCCAUUCCCGAAGCCCAAGCUUGCUGACAAGGAUGGCAAGCCAACCGAUGUGCCCAACCCGGCGCAUCUCAUUGCACUGGCGCAAGACUCUCAGGUGUUGAGCUUCAUCUUCAACUCGACCUCAGCCCCUGUGAUGAUCCAGGUCGCCCACUGCACCAAGGCCGCAGCAGCAUGGACCGCCAUCAGGGAGAUGUUCCUCUCCCAGACGCAGGCCAACAUCGUCAACAUGCGGAUCGCCCUCUCCAACACCAAAAAGGGCACCACGACCAUCGCCGACUACAUCGGGCGCAUGAAGGCGCUGGGCGACGAGAUGGAUUCAGUAGGAAAGCCGCUCAACGAUGAUGACAUGGUCUCCUACAUCCUCGCUGGACUAGACUACGACUACAUCUCGUUUGUCUCUUCCAUCUGUGCUGCGAGGACGAAACCGAUCAAGGUAGCAGAACUCUACUCUCAGUUGAUUGGUUUGAGAAACACCUUGCUAUGUUCGAAGGUGGCAACCACUCCUCCUAGUCCUCGUCCAACGCCGUCUCCCGUGGUCGUGGUUUCGGCCGAGGUGGAGGUGGCCGCGACAAUGGUGGUCGAGGCAACGGAGGAGGUGGACGCGGCAACAGAGGCCGUGGCAAUGGAGGCGGUGGCCGCGGCAAUGGAGGUCGCGACAACGGCAACGGCAACGGAGGGGUUGAUGAUCUUCAUGAAGUCACCUGCCAGAUCUGCAAGAGGCAAAACCACACCGCCCUCGAAUGCUAUCGCCGCUUCGACAUCUCCUUCACCAAGAAUGACAAGAGCGCAGGGUCGGCCACCAGUUCUUCCUAUGGAGUGGACACAAAUUUGUACCUUGAUACAGGGGCUACCGAUCACAUCACCAGCGAGCUUGACAAGCUGA